This 292-nucleotide ribosomal RNA is filed under the name uncultured Rhizobacter sp. RNAcentral describes it as "partial 16S ribosomal RNA". It matches the Rfam family "Bacterial small subunit ribosomal RNA", at positions 505 to 796 of the family's 1533-position model. Lineage: Bacteria; Pseudomonadati; Pseudomonadota; Betaproteobacteria; Burkholderiales; Sphaerotilaceae. The record is from RNAcentral.
GUGUCAGCCGCCGCGGUAAUACGUAGGGUGCAAGCGUUAAUCGGAAUUACUGGGCGUAAAGCGUGCGCAGGCGGCUUUGCAAGACAGAUGUGAAAUCCCCGGGCUCAACCUGGGAACUGCAUUUGUGACUGCAUGACUAGAGUACGGUAGAGGGGGAUGGAAUUCCGCGUGUAGCAGUGAAAUGCGUAGAUAUGCGGAGGAACACCGAUGGCGAAGGCAAUCCCCUGGACCUGUACUGACGCUCAUGCACGAAAGCGUGGGGAGCAAACAGGAUUAGAAACCCCCGUAGUCC